GCGUGUGUGAAGAAGGCCUUCGGGUUGUAAAGCACUUUUGUCCGGAAAGAAAUGGCUCUGGUUAAUACCCGGGGUCGAUGACGGUACCGGAAGAAUAAGCACCGGCUAACUACGUGCCAGCAGCCGCGGUAAUACGUAGGGUGCGAGCGUUAAUCGGAAUUACUGGGCGUAAAGCGUGCGCAGGCGGUUUUGUAAGACAGGCGUGAAAUCCCCGAGCUCAACUUGGGAAUGGCGCUUGUGACUGCAAGGCUAGAGUAUGUCAGAGGGGGGUAGAAUUCCACGUGUAGCAGUGAAAUGCGUAGAGAUGUGGAGGAAUACCGAUGGCGAAGGCAGCCCCCUGGGACGUCACUGACGCUCAUGCACGAAAGCGUGGGGAGCAAACAGGAUUAGAUACCCUGGUAGUCCACGCCCUAAACGAUGUCAACUAGUUGUUGGGGAUUCAUUUCUUCAGUAACGUAGCUAACGCGUGAAGUUGACCGCCUGGGGAGUACGGUCGCAAGAUUAAAACUCAAAGGAAUUGACGGGGACCCGCACAAGCGGUGGAUGAUGUGGAUUAAUUCGAUGCAACGCGAAAAACCUUACCUACCCUUGACAUGCCACUAACGAAGCAGAGAUGCAUUAGGUGCCCGAAAGGGAAAGUGGACACAGGUGCUGCAUGGCUGUCGUCAGCUCGU
This 674-nucleotide ribosomal RNA is filed under the name Cupriavidus sp. RNAcentral's name for it is "bacterial SSU rRNA". It matches the Rfam family "Bacterial small subunit ribosomal RNA", at positions 399 to 1063 of the family's 1533-position model. The record is from RNAcentral. Lineage: Bacteria; Pseudomonadati; Pseudomonadota; Betaproteobacteria; Burkholderiales; Burkholderiaceae.